UCUCCCCUAGCGUGUUCCACGCGAGCAGUGAAACCCGGCCGACCCACAGGGUGCCAGAGCACUGAAGAGCUAAAAAUAUAACCGGGGUGCUAGCAACAGCCUUCCGGUUGGUCGGCGAGCAGGGAGAGGCGGCUUCUGAUUGGGUUUCCCAUCCCACCGCUAGGAUUAAGAACUGGGGCCAAAAGCACUGGCGCCGGGCCCUUGGGAAAAGUGUGCGUUUGCGCAGUGGGGAGCUGCAAAGGAUGCUGGUAUUUGAAGUCAUGAGAGGGAGAAAUGGUUUUGAAUCCCAAUUGUGUCCACCAACCGUGUUAUCUUGAUUUAAUGUGUAACAAAUCUCUUUACUUCAUCAAACGUACUUUCCUGUUCUUAAAAUGGAGACCGUGUGAGGAUUAAAUAUGAUACAGGAUGUAAAGCAUGGUUCAAAUAGUUGGUAUCCUUAAUUUAAAGAUGACCGUUCAGGCCAGAUUGCCUCCUGCGUACCCUGUGCACGGUUCGGUAUGUAUUCCUGAGCAAGAAACCUUAGUAUACAGAAUGAUGAGAAAGAAAGGCUAGGGUGAGCGGAAACGAAUUCUCCUAGGGCAUCUCAGGAAGGAGGAAUGGAGUCCAUAUAAGUAGAUAAAGGGUAGACGUCUCUUACCUAAAUUUAGUGCAGGCUGAAGGAGGGCGCACAGAAUCCCUGGACAGAAGACAUAGGAUUUCUGCGUGUUCGUGCUUUUGUUCUAAUUUCCCCUGCAGUGCUGGAGACACACCAGGCCUGAGCAACUUAACUAAAACAAAACUGAGAAAUCCAGCCUCCUUGGCAGUUGGGAGCUCUGGGUAAAGGGUUGGCAUAUAUAGGAAGGGAUAAAAUAGAGGGGCAAAAGGUAAUCACCAUUCUUAACUGCUGAUGUCUCCACUUGUCACGUGGUGAGGAGGAGAGAGGACGUUUUCUCUCCUCGGUGUGUGACUUCAUCUUGCCAGGGCCUAAUUGUGAGCUUAAUUCCACUGGAGCAUUCCACAGUCCUCUCCCAUUUUAGAUAAUGAUAGGUUGAAAGGUACACACCGUGUUUUCAACGUGGUGAGCUUCAGAAGCAACUCCCCUGUCUGAGAGUAAGUUACACCAGAUGUUUUGUUGCCUUGACAAGUCAGGUUGGUAAUAAUUAACCCCAAUUAACUCUCAGGGGUGAGUCACUCUCUCGUACACGCAUGCCAGGGUGAACAAUUUUGUACUUCCUUUUGUGUUAUCUAAGAAAAUAGCUCCUCAUGUUUGAUUUUUUCAGAAGCCCUGAUCCAGCUGGGCAGAAGCAAAGACAACCCCAACAAAACUGGCUUCAGAGAAGUAUCUGGAUGCAGGGCAAGUGGUUCGCUCUUUAUUCACCAAUGAGCCCUUGAUGCAAAAUAACUGCCUUUUAUUGGACGACACCCAGCUGACCUCACAGAACUUGAGGAAAUUAUAACCUGCGUGCCUAGCUGAACAUAGUAAUCUCUAUGAGCCAUAGGAGUUUGCCCUGGUUGGCAAGAGUUACUAAAUAAAAGCAGCAAAGGUCAGAUGGAAA
This is a long non-coding RNA of Lontra canadensis (Northern American river otter), 1535 nucleotides long. RefSeq lists it as uncharacterized. The record is from RefSeq and is a predicted model, not a curated record. The transcript has 2 exons. NCBI's taxonomy places the organism in Eukaryota, Metazoa, Chordata, Mammalia, Carnivora, Mustelidae.